This 449-nucleotide ribosomal RNA is filed under the name uncultured bacterium. RNAcentral's name for it is "partial 16S ribosomal RNA". It matches the Rfam family "Bacterial small subunit ribosomal RNA", at positions 338 to 795 of the family's 1533-position model. The record is from RNAcentral.
CCUACGGGUGGCUGCAGUCGAGAAUCUUCGGCAAUGGGCGCAAGCCUGACCGAGCGACGCCGCGUGCGGGAUGAAGGCCUUCGGGUUGUAAACCGCUGUCAGAGGGGAGGAAAUGCAUGGGAGUUCUCUCUCAUGUUUGACCUAUCCUCAGAGGAAGUACGGGCUAAGUUCGUGCCAGCAGCCGCGGUAAUACGAACCGUACGAUCGUUAGUCGGAUUGACUGGGCUUAAGGCGGGCGUAGGCGGGUGUGAAAGCCCUCGGCUCAACCGAGGAAUUGCGCCCAAAACUACCUGGCUUGAGGAAGAUAAAGGUAAGCGGAACUAAUGGUGGAGCGGUGAAAUGCGUUGAUAUCAUUAGGAACACCUGUGGCGAAAGCAGCUUACUGGGUCUUUUCUGACGCUGAUGCACGAAAGCUAGGGGAGCGAACGGGAUUAGAUACCCGAGUAGUC